GCCGAGGAGGGUGGAUCAUGAGGUCAGGAGUUCAAGACGGUGAAACUCCAUCUCUACUAAAAACACAAAAAUUAGCCAGGAGCUGUGGCAGGUGCCUGUAAUCCCAGCUACUCAGUAGGCUGAGGCAGGAGAAUCACUUGAACCCGGGAGGUGGAGGUUGCAGUGAGCUGAGAUCGCGCCACUGCACUCUAGCCUGGGCGACAGAGCAAGACUAAAAAUAAAAAUGAAAAAAUUAUUAUCCAUGGUAUUAUCAUGGUAGUACUGACUAAAAGAGGGACACGUGUAACAAAAUCAGUAAGGAGGGUACUCCAAGAAUCCAUGUUAAAGUUAAUGAGGGCUCGAACCCAAACAUAAAGGAUGGAAAUGAUGUAAUAAAAUACCUUUUGAAAGUUAUAUUUAAAAAUUUUUGGUGAAUAGUCUAGUUAGAGGUGAAAGAAGAAAGCAGAGGAGUCUAAUGCAAUGCGUGACUUGUAGCUCAGGUAAAGGGGUGGCAGGUGACGCUUAAAUACUAGAAAUAUAAGAAGCAGCACAGGUUUGGUUUUAUCUGUGAGAACAAUGGAGUGGAGGUAUGCUUUAGAUGCAAUUAUUUAUGGGAUAUUCAAAACAGAUAUCUAUGAAGCAAAAAACUUGGGCCCAAAAAACAAGUUUGAAGGUAUAUUUGGGAGUUACCAGUAAUAUAGGUAACUGUUGAAGCUCUAAAUAUAGAAGACAAACUAGAGGAGCUUGUUUCUUGAAGAAUUCUUGUCACACUUGACAUUUUUUACAGAGAUUUCUUAAAACAGGGGCAUAUCUUCUUUGGCUAACAUAUGCAGACUAAAAUGAAAGAGUAUAGUAUAUUAUAAAAUCAAUAAAAGGUAAGAUAAAUUGAGGCCUAAAAAUAAAGAAUAAAUACACUCAGUUGAUUCUGAAGCUCUAAUUUACAGAUGCAAAAUUGUACCAGUACAUUAACUCAUAUGUCAAAACAACAUCUAGAGAAACAAAAAAUGAAAGUAAAAUGGAAAAAGAUAAAAGAAGAGAGGCAAGGAGAAGAGAAUGGGCAAAAGGAGAUAGGAAAAACAGGAAUUUUUUUUUAAAGGGCUAAAAUUUUAGUGAAUCAGAUGUGGAAAACAGUUGGAUUAACAUUGAGAUCAAAUGAGAAAGGAGCAAAUAAGGAAAGAUGUAUUACAAACCAAGAGUAAAAAAGGGAAAACAAAAUAACAAAAGCAAAAACUAUUUAAAAAGAAUAAAGGAAGACGUGAUAAUGAAGUAAAUUUAAAAAGUACGGAAUAAUAAAAAGAAAUUGCAAAAAAUACCUUUUGAAAAUAAACAUACUAAUAACUUGACAAUAAAGUGAAAUGUGUAAGACAAACAUAUCUGUGUCAUUAUUUAGGAGUAGUGAAAAGUACUCUUAAAUAAUAAUUUGGUAUCUAGCAGGCCUGGAUUUGAAUCUACUUUAACUUGCUAGCUAUGUGACCUUGGGCAAGCAAAGAAACUCCUCAUAACCAUUGUAAUAAUACCACCAAAAUGCCUUACACUUACGGCUCAAAAAAUGAAGGAAAUGAGAGAAAAAAGUAUAGAUUACUAUAUGGAAGUCAAAUUUCUAGUGACUUUUCUAAUCCAAACAUGAAUUGUUACAGUACUUGAAAUAAACUUUAUGAGAACUGAGUGACUACAUUGCUUCAGAUAGUUUUAUACUGCUAGGUCAACGCUGCCUGACAGUAAUAAGAACAGGAUGUGGGAUUCAAUAUGCUCAUUCUAUCUCAAACUCUGUCACACAUACAAUGACUGCUAUUUACCUUCCUCCUGAGCCAUCUGGGAAAAAACCAACCAACCAAACAAACAAACAAAAGAAAAACCCACCAGGUAGGAGUCAGUUAGUUCUGCUAACUAACUAACCAAAAACCUUAAUUGUAUGGCCACCAGCACCCUAGCCCUUUGUCAUGAAAGCUACCAAUAAGGUGGAAAUUUAAAAUAUGAAAUAUUUCAUUAUACAUGUUUUAUUAAACCCUACAUGUGCAGAAAUGAUUGUCCAUUUUCCUUCUUAACUUGCUUUUGUAAGACUUAUUAAGUAGAAAAUAUAAAUCUCAAGCUCCUUAAAUGUGAUUUUGAGGAACUGAGACCAAAACAAUUUUUUGCUGUGGAACCAGAUCCUUGAAUGCACUACAGGAAAAUAUUAUUUGAUAUGAAAUUUUUUUGGUACACACAAUUUUUCAAAAAUAUAUCUCUCUCCACAAAGUUAAUUCAAAUUGUAGAAUUCUUCCAAGUCACAAAUGGAGUUUUCAAGGCUCUGGGUACUUACCUUUGAGUUCCACAUCCUUUAUCUCUGGAGCUCUUAACUGAGGGAACAUGGACCAUUAGGUCAUGAACAGACUUUGUAGUCUUUGAACAGCCUGAAACAGUAUGUGAUACUUGAUGUGCAUGUACACAGGAACAUUUUUCUAGAGUAAUGGCACAUACCUUUCAUCAGAUUUUCAAAGGUUUCUCAAAAUGCUCAAGAACCACUGUUAGAUAUUUAAAUAACCAGAGUGUACAGUGUCCAAAUAUUUCCAAAUUUUGACACUUGUAAGAUGUCUUAAUUAAAACAAGCCAUGAAGUUCAGCGUCACAAUAACCAGAAAAGCACUUGUGAGAGUAGUUCUAUGUCUUUACUUCCUAGUGGUUUACACACUCUUUAACCCAUAUGGCAAUCUGGCUUCUGUCUCCGGUGCUCUGGAAUUACUUCUGCCUGUAUGAUUAAGUUCCUCAUUGUUAAAUUCGAAAAUACAUUCUUUGGUAUUUAUUUGACCUCUUGGUGGUAAUAUAGUGUAAGAGCACAGACUCUGGAGCCAAACUGCCUAGGUUCAAAUCUUAGCUCUAUUACUUUCUAACUCUGUGACUUUGGGCAAAUGACUUAACUCUCUCAUGCCUCAAAGCAGAAUCCUUUGUAAGGUUUAUUUAUAUAGUGGUGUAAAGAGUACUUACUUCAAAAGCUUUGGUCAGUGUGAGAAAUAAGCUCCUAACAAAGAAAGUGUUAUGUAAUAGUUAUUAUCUGGUACCUCUGAUCACAUCAUUUUUGAAAAUCACUUGAAAUCUGCCUAAGUUUCAUUCUGCCUUUGAUGGCUCCUUAUUUUCAUCUCCCUACUUCAGGCUUCCUCCCUAAUAUAUCUUUUAUGCCAAUAUUAUGAUCACUUGAAACUAUAAAUCUGAUGCCAUCCUUGGCCACUACCAUUAAGAUGGUCUAAACUCCUCAGCAUGAUAGACAAGUCCCUUUAUGAUAGUGUACCCAUCUAGUUCUCAUUCCUCAAGUCUCCUCUGUUGUCUAUGCUUACCCUAUGGGCUAAGCUGAAUCAAGCUGUUACAUUUCCAAAACAUGCCUCACUGUCUUUAUUCAUGCCUUUGCACAUGCCAUUGACUCUUCCUAGAAUGCCCCAUUCUCCUUCUCUAGAAAGUCUUCUCUUAACAUACUUCUUCCCAAAAUAAAUUAGGUGUCCUUUCUUAAUAUGCCUCCAAUAACCCCAUACAGUAUUUAUCCCAUUCUAUUUUAGAUGCCAGUUUGGUUGAUGAUACAUUUCAUCUAGUCAGAUCUUCCCACUGCCUCUUAUAAAGAAAACCAGGAGCCAUAUUAUGAUAUUCUUGUUCUCUAAUUUUUCUGCUGCCCUGAUCUUAAACCACUUUCUUCUCCCUUUGUUGACAAUUACCCCACCCCUUAUUUCUUAAUUAGCUCAACAAGAUUAGAUAGAAAUGUAUCUACAAAGGAUAUAUGUAUAUAAAUUAACUAGAUAACAAAACUUCACACUGAAGUGAACAUUCUACAAGUAUUUCUUUCAUUGCUGACCAUUAGGUUGCAGCAUGCAACUCUCAACAAUGAGCUGCCCCUCUCCACUCCUAUAGAAGCUCCAAAUACUAUGGUACCACUAUGUAGGUUUUCAGCCUUUCAAAGGCUUUUAUUAUGAACUUCAUCAUUACUUCAGCAGGAGCCUUUUAGGGACUUAAAAGCACUGAUUAUCUAUAAAAAGUAACUUCAUAUUUCAUGCACAAAAUUCCCAAUUGGCAGAUUUAGGUCCAUAAAAGAAAGGAAAAAAAUUAUUCUAGCUAUAUAAAUUAUCAGGAAUAAAAUAGCAUUUCUCCUUGCCUUGUUAUAAGGAAAUAAUAUAUUUUUCCUUACCAGGAAUCAGGAUAGUAUCUUUGAUGAUCCCUCAGGGUUAUAAAAUUGCUUACUGGUUAAAGUUUUUUGCCAAAGAUAUUAAGAAAUAAAAAGUUCGCUCAUUUUCCUGUGCAAUUUAAAGAAAUAUUUGCAGUAUGUACAGGAAUUUUAAGUUAUUAUUCCCUAAUAUAUAUGGCUU
RNAcentral lists this long non-coding RNA (4300 nucleotides) under Homo sapiens (human). RNAcentral's name for it is "HSALNT0014130". The record is from RNAcentral. Lineage: Eukaryota; Metazoa; Chordata; Mammalia; Primates; Hominidae.